GGUGUGUGUGGGUGGGGGUGGGGGUGUGUGUGGGAGGGAGGGAGGUGUGUGUGUGGGAGGAGUGUAUAUGGGUGAAGGUAUGUAAGUGUGUGUUUGUAGAUGUGUGGGUGAAGGUAUGCAUGUAAGUGUGUGUACAGGUGAAGUUGUGUAUGUAAGUUUGUGGGUGUGUGUGUGUGUGUAUGGGUGUGUGUGUGUAUGGGUGUGUGUGUGUAUGGGUGAAGGUGUGUGUAUGGGUGAAGGUGUGUGUAUGGGUGAAGGUGUGUGUAUGGGUGAAGGUGGGUGUGUGUGUGUGUGUGUGUAUGGGUGAGGGUGUGUGUGUGUAUGGGUGAAGGUGUGUGUGUGUGUGUGUGUGUGUGUGAAGGUGUGUAUGGGUGAAGGUGUGUGUGUGUGUGUAUGGGUGAAGGUGUGUGUGUGUGUGUGUAUGGGUGAAGGUGUGUGUGUGUGUAUGGGUGAAGGUGUGUGUGUGUGUGUGUGUGUGUGUAUGGGUGAAGGUGUGUGUGUGUGUGUGUGUAUGGGUGAAGGUGUGUGUGUGUGUGUGUGUGUAUGGGUGAAGGUGUGUGUGUGUGUGUGUGUGUGUAUGGGUGAAGGUGUGUGUGUGUGUGUGUGUGUGUGUGUAUGGGUGAAGGUGUGUGUGUGUGUGUGUAUGGGUGAAGGUGUGUGUGUGUGUGUGUGUGUGUGUGUGUGUGUAUGGGUGAAGGUGUGUGUAUGGGUGAAGGUGUGUGUGUGUGUGUGUGUGUAUGGGUGAAGGUGUGUGUGUAUGGGUGAAGGUGUGUGUGUGUGUGUGUGUGUGUGUGUGUGUGUAUGGGUGAAGGUGUGUGUGUGUGUGUGUGUGUGUGUGUGUGUGUGUGUGUGUGUGUAUGGGUGAAGGUGUGUGUGUGUAUGGGUGAAGGUGUGUGUGUGUGUAUGGGUGAAGGUGUGUGUAUGGGUGAAGGUGUGUGUGUGUGUAUGGGUGAAGGUGUGUGUGUAUGGGUGAAGGUGUGUGUGUGUGUAUGGGUGAAGGUGUGUGUGUGUGUAUGGGUGAAGGUGUGUGUGUGUGUAUGGGUGAAGGUGUGUGUGUGUGUGUGUAUGGGUGAAGGUGUGUGUGUAUGGGUGAA
Molecule: long non-coding RNA, 1094 nt
Organism: Ictalurus punctatus (channel catfish)
Lineage: Eukaryota; Metazoa; Chordata; Actinopteri; Siluriformes; Ictaluridae
Exons: 3
Source: RefSeq, a predicted model, not a curated record